GAUGAACGCUGGCGGCGUGCCUAAUACAUGCAAGUCGAGCGAACAGACGAGGAGCUUGCUCCUCUGACGUUAGCGGCGGACGGGUGAGUAACACGUGGAUAACCUACCUAUAAGACUGGGAUAACUUCGGGAAACCGGAGCUAAUACCGGAUAAUAUAUUGAACCGCAUGGUUCAAUAGUGAAAGACGGUUUUGCUGUCACUUAUAGAUGGAUCCGCGCCGCAUUAGCUAGUUGGUAAGGUAACGGCUUACCAAGGCAACGAUGCGUAGCCGACCUGAGAGGGGGGUAGGCGCCACGGGGAACUGAGCAACGGCCCAGGCCCCCAGGGGGGGCAGAGAUGGGGAACUUGCCGAAAGGGGGGAAACCUUGCGGGACCAACGCCGGGUGGGUGAAGAAGGUCUGCGGAUGGGAAAACUCUUUUUUGGGGGAAAAAAAAAUGUGAAAGUAAAUAAGCCGGUUUUGCGGGAACCAAAAAAGAAACCCCGGCUAAAUACGGG
RNAcentral lists this ribosomal RNA (497 nucleotides) under uncultured bacterium. Its description in RNAcentral is "partial 16S ribosomal RNA". It matches the Rfam family "Bacterial small subunit ribosomal RNA", at positions 28 to 507 of the family's 1533-position model. The record is from RNAcentral.